UGGGGAAUUUUGCACAAUGGGGGAAACCCUGAUGCAGCGACGCCGCGUGAUUUAGAAGGCCUUCGGGUUGUAAAAAUCUUUUUUACGGGAUGAAAAUGACAGUACCGUAAGAAUAAGGUCCGGCUAAAUACGUGCCAGCAGCCGCGGUAAUACGUAUGGACCGAGCGUUGUCCGGAAUCAUUGGGCGUAAAGGGUACGUAGGCGGCCUAGUAAGUUAGAAGUGAAAUAAUAUAGCUCAACUAUAUAAAGCUUUUAAAACUGCUAGGCUUGAGGGAUGGAAGGGAAAGUGGAAUUCCUAGUGUAGCGGUGAAAUGCGCAGAUAUUAGGAAGAAUACCGGUGGCGAAGGCGACUUUCUGGUCAUCAUCUGACGCUGAGGUACGAAAGCGUGGGUAGCAAACAGG
RNAcentral lists this ribosomal RNA (402 nucleotides) under bacterium. Its description in RNAcentral is "partial 16S ribosomal RNA". It matches the Rfam family "Bacterial small subunit ribosomal RNA", at positions 355 to 776 of the family's 1533-position model. The record is from RNAcentral.